Molecule: ribosomal RNA, 300 nt
Filed under: uncultured Lactobacillus sp.
Lineage: Bacteria; Bacillati; Bacillota; Bacilli; Lactobacillales; Lactobacillaceae
Description: bacterial SSU rRNA
Rfam family: Bacterial small subunit ribosomal RNA
Source: RNAcentral
GCUAACUCCUGGCCAGCGGCCCCGGUAAUACGGAGGGGGCAAGCGUUAAUCGGAAGUACUGGGCGUAAAGCGCACGCAGGCGGUUGGAUAAGUCAGAUGUGAAAGCCCCGGGCUCAACCUGGGAACUGCAUUUGAAACUGUUCGACUAGAGUCUUGUAGAGGGGGGUAGAAUUCCAGGUGUAGCGGUGAAAUGCGUAGAGAUCUGGAGGAAUACCGGUGGCGAAGGCGGCCCCCUGGACAAAGACUGACGCUCAGGUGCGAAAGCGUGGGGAGCAAACAGGAUUAGAUACCCUAGUAGUC